Molecule: ribosomal RNA, 480 nt
Filed under: uncultured bacterium
Lineage: Bacteria
Description: partial 16S ribosomal RNA
Rfam family: Bacterial small subunit ribosomal RNA
Source: RNAcentral
GAUGAACGCUGGCGGCGUGCUUAACACAUGCCAGUCGAACGAAGCAUUUGCGACAGAUUUUUUCGGAAUGAAGUUGCUUAUGACUGAGUGGCGGACGGGUGAGUAACGCGUGGGUAACCUGCCUUGUACUGGGGGAUAGCAGCUGGAAACGGCUGGUAAUACCGCAUAAGCGCACAAUGUUGCAUGACAUGGUGUGAAAAACUCCGGUGGUAUAAGAUGGACCCGCGUCUGAUUAGCUAGUUGGUGAGAUAACAGCCCACCAAGGCGACGAUCAGUAGCCGACCUGAGAGGGUGACCGGCCACAUUGGGACUGAGACACGGCCCAGACUCCUACGGGAGGCAGCAGUGGGGAAUAUUGCACAAUGGAGGAAACUCUGAUGCAGCGACGCCGCGUGAGUGAAGAAGUAAUUCGUUAUGUAAAGCUCUAUCAGCAGGGAAGAUAGUGACGGUACCUGACUAAGAAGCUCCGGCGAAAUACGU